This 253-nucleotide ribosomal RNA is filed under the name uncultured bacterium. RNAcentral describes it as "partial 16S ribosomal RNA". It matches the Rfam family "Bacterial small subunit ribosomal RNA", at positions 524 to 776 of the family's 1533-position model. The record is from RNAcentral.
UACGGGGGGGGCAAGCGUUGUUCGGAAUUACUGGGCGUAAAGGGCUCGUAGGCGGCCAACUAAGUCAGACGUGAAAUCCCUCGGCUUAACCGGGGAACUGCAUCUGAUACUGGAUGGCUUGAGUUCGGGAGAGGGAUGCGGAAUUCCAGGUGUAGCGGUGAAAUGCGUAGAUAUCUGGAGGAAUACCGGUGGCGAAGGCGGCAUCCUGGACCGGCAUUGACGCUGAGGAGCGAAAGCUAGGGGAGCAAACGGG